AUUUAACAAAAGUUGGGGGGCUCACUGGGGAUGUUACUUUGUGGUUAAGUGCCCCUGGGUUCAAUCCAUGGUAUCCCCAAAAAAGGAAAAAUAUAAUAGUGAGAUCCUUGAUUACCUUUCCAGGAUGCUUUAGUCUGAAAAUAAUAUGGAUCCUACUCACACAGUCAUGAGGACAUUGUCCAGUGGUAGAUUCAGGCUCAACUUAAACCAGUUUUCUUACCCUCUGACUAUAUUCCCUCUGUUUUUAGCAUCAUCUCAUACUUGGCUGUCUCAUCUCAUGAUUUCAAGAUGGCCACAGGUGUUUUUAGGGCCCUCUUCUUUCCCACCACCAAGAAAAGAAUGCAAGUCCCUGACAAGUUUCCUGAACCUUCCUAGUUGAUAGAAUGAAUAUUGGAGUGGGACGGAGGAGUAAACUUCCAACAGCUGCUACAUUUUCUACCAACCUGGAAGGGUCUUUUUUUUAAAUUAUUUUUUAAUUUAUAUAGAGUAAAAUUCACUCUUUUGGUGUGUAGUUCUCUGAAUUCUGACAGAUGCAGAAGAGUCAUGUGGUCACUGUAAUCAAGACUGGGGAUAAUCCAUUACCCCGCCCCUUAGAAAUUUGCUUGUGCUCCCUUUUGUAGUCCUCUACCCACCACUUACCCUGACUCCUACUCCCCCACACUAGGAACCACUGAACCAUGGAUCUGAGACACCAAUUCUUCUUCCCCCAUGGUUGUGAAGAUCCUUCAGGAUGUGGCAUAAAUAAAAUCACACAAUAUAUCACCUUUCAAA
Ictidomys tridecemlineatus (thirteen-lined ground squirrel) is the source of this 771-nucleotide non-coding RNA. The record is from RefSeq and is a predicted model, not a curated record. Lineage: Eukaryota; Metazoa; Chordata; Mammalia; Rodentia; Sciuridae.